GCCUAGCUGGCUCAGUUGGUAGAGCAUGCAAGUCUUGAUCUUGAAGGCGUGAGUUCAAGCCCCACAUGUGGCA
Molecule: transfer RNA, 73 nt
Filed under: Canis lupus familiaris (dog)
Lineage: Eukaryota; Metazoa; Chordata; Mammalia; Carnivora; Canidae
Also listed under: 2 other names
Rfam family: tRNA
About the family: Transfer RNA (tRNA) molecules are approximately 80 nucleotides in length. Their secondary structure includes four short double-helical elements and three loops (D, anti-codon, and T loops). Further hydrogen bonds mediate the characteristic L-shaped molecular structure. tRNAs have two regions of fundamental functional importance: the anti-codon, which is responsible for specific mRNA codon recognition, and the 3' end, to which the tRNAs corresponding amino acid is attached (by aminoacyl-tRNA synthetases). tRNAs cope with the degeneracy of the genetic code in two manners: having more than one tRNA (with a specific anti-codon) for a particular amino acid; and 'wobble' base-pairing, i.e. permitting non-standard base-pairing at the 3rd anti-codon position.
Source: Rfam by way of RNAcentral